This is a long non-coding RNA of Lolium rigidum, 875 nucleotides long. RefSeq lists it as uncharacterized. The transcript has 3 exons. NCBI's taxonomy places the organism in Eukaryota, Viridiplantae, Streptophyta, Magnoliopsida, Poales, Poaceae. The record is from RefSeq and is a predicted model, not a curated record.
UCCUCUCACGCCAGGGCCCGAACCACGCCAGCACACCAGAGUUGGACACAUCCGACUACUGCCACCACUUGUCGUCCUCUCAGUCUGAUCCCCUUUUUGCUUUCUCUCCCGUGACACUACUGCCACCAGCCCACCACCUCUCGUCCUCUGAGUCUGAUCCCCUUUUUUAUUUCUCUCCCGGGACACUACUGCCACCACCUCUCCUCAAUUCCAGCCAAGUGAGUAUCAAUCGAUGCAGGGGAGCACACUGCAAUGCUAUUCAUGGCAUGCACCGCCGAUUCUUCACACCACCGGCAUGUCCCGCCGAUGCCCGAUGCCCAUCUGACUUUGCUCAUGCUCGGUCGAGCCACGAAGCACCAGAAGAUGAGGAUUACCCGCCUGCAGAAAUGAAUCUCCAAAACUCGAGCUGGAUGUGCCACCACGCCAUUCUUGAGGACAGUAGCUGCAACCCUGCCCGUCCAGUUGCUGCUCAAAAAAGGAAUUGAUGCCGAGUUUCUUCUAUAUUCUCUGUGUGAUUUGUUCACUCUCCUGAGCUGCUGAGACCUGAAAAACAAUCACUUCAACAUGAUCAUGCAGCUAGCAGCGCAAAGGAAUCAAUGUAAAGAAUCACAUCUGCUCUGUUGAGUGCCAGCUGGUGAGGCGGUGGCUGCAGGAACACCAAUCAAAAGCAGAAGAAGAGAAGCCCCGCCGCUAGAAAAGAAAAACAAUCGGCGGGCACCAGGACACAUGAGAGAAGCUCCACCUGAAAAUGGUAAUUCAUGACAAAGUUCAAGUGUACACCAACAAUUUCCCAUUAACACACAUACAGGUACUUGUAUUUUCAGUCUUAAGAUGGUACUACUUCAUUACUUAGGUAGUUAGCAUAAUGCCUGAUC